AGUGAACGCUGGCGGUAGGCCUAACACAUGCGAGUCGAACGGCAGCACAGUAAGAGCUUGCUCUUACGGGUGGCGAGUGGCGGACGGGUGAGGAAUACAUCGGAAUCUACUUUUUCGUGGGGGAUAACGUAGGGAAACUUACGCUAAUACCGCAUACGACCUACGGGUGAAAGCAGGGGAUCUUCGGACCUUGCGCGAUUGAAUGAGCCGAUGUCGGAUUAGCUAGUUGGCGGGGUAAAGGCCCACCAAGGCGACGAUCCGUAGCUGGUCUGAGAGGAUGAUCAGCCACACUGGAACUGAGACACGGUCCAGACUCCUACGGGAGGCAGCAGUGGGGAAUAUUGGACAAUGGGCGCAAGCCUGAUCCAGCCAUACCGCGUGGGUGAAGAAGGCCUUCGGGUUGUAAAGCCCUUUUGUUGGGAAAGAAAAGCAGCAGGUUAAUACCCCGCUGUUCUGGCGGUACCCAAAGAAUAAGCACCGGCUAACUUCGUG
RNAcentral lists this ribosomal RNA (492 nucleotides) under uncultured bacterium. RNAcentral's name for it is "partial 16S ribosomal RNA". It matches the Rfam family "Bacterial small subunit ribosomal RNA", at positions 29 to 507 of the family's 1533-position model. The record is from RNAcentral.